RNAcentral lists this transfer-messenger RNA (358 nucleotides) under Candidatus Omnitrophota. RNAcentral's name for it is "JAHKAJ01 sp021735655 Standard tmRNA". It matches the Rfam family "transfer-messenger RNA". From Rfam's summary of the family: Bacterial tmRNA, also known as 10Sa RNA or SsrA, is named for its dual tRNA and mRNA-like properties. Lineage: Bacteria; Pseudomonadati. The record is from RNAcentral. RNAcentral also lists the same sequence under 1 other name.
GGGGGUGAACAGGCUUCGACGUAAUGGCUAGAUGAUCGGUUGCAUGUCGCGAGGGUAAGUCUCCCGCGUUAACGGAGCUUACAAAACACAAACGCAACACCUUACGUUGCAACAUCUCCUGUUGGCUUAGGCUAAGGAGGGCACCGAUAUUUUUUGCCUCAGGAAUUAUUGGUGCACACUUAUGGGGCUAGAAUUAGGCUCUUUUGCUUUGAGGGUUUAGUUUGAAACUAAUAAAGCUGCUUUUUGGAAGAUCCCGCCUUUUGGAGCUUUCAAGACUAAGAUAAAUAUAAGGCUAAACAUGUAGUAACUUUUCGUUGAACCUUUGCGGACCGGGGUUCGAUUCCCCGCACCUCCACCA